This 413-nucleotide RNase P RNA is filed under the name Candidatus Hydrogenedentes bacterium CG1_02_42_14. RNAcentral's name for it is "RNase P RNA component class A". It matches the Rfam family "Bacterial RNase P class A". From Rfam's summary of the family: Ribonuclease P (RNase P) is a ubiquitous endoribonuclease, found in archaea, bacteria and eukarya as well as chloroplasts and mitochondria. Its best characterised activity is the generation of mature 5'-ends of tRNAs by cleaving the 5'-leader elements of precursor-tRNAs. The record is from RNAcentral. RNAcentral also lists the same sequence under 2 other names. Lineage: Bacteria; Pseudomonadati; Candidatus Hydrogenedentota.
GCAGACGGUCGCGCGGCCGCGUCUUUCAAUUGAAAGAUGAGGAAAGUCCGGACUCCAAAGAGUAAGGCGCUGGAUAACGUCCAGGCACGGAAAGGUUUCGAACAGAAAUUCACCGUGGCGGAAAGGACAACAGAAAAUAUACCGCCUGAAUUCCUUGUGAACUCAGGUAAGGGUGAAAUGGUGCGGUAAGAGCGCACCGGUUCGAAAGCGAUUUCGAACGCAAGGCAACCCCCGCCCGGAGCAAGGUCAUGUAGUCGGCGUAUUCCGAAAGGAAAGGGAAUUGCUCGUUCCCUUCAAGCUGAGGGUAGACUGCUAGAAUCCGAAGGCAACUUCGGAUCCAGAGUGAUGUCCGCGCGGAAACUGAUUUUUUAAUCAGUCUCCGACAGAAUCCGGCUUAUAGGCCGUCUGCAUCU